This 293-nucleotide long non-coding RNA is filed under the name Musa acuminata (dwarf banana). RNAcentral describes it as "long non-coding RNA (MACU_LNC011185)". The record is from RNAcentral. Lineage: Eukaryota; Viridiplantae; Streptophyta; Magnoliopsida; Zingiberales; Musaceae.
GUAAUAUCCUCGCUUUUGAAAAUUAUUAAUAAAGAUUUAUUUAUAAAUCAGAGGACCUAUAUGUAAAUAUGGAAGUUUCAAGGACUAAACUGUUAAGUUGUAAAAAGAAGAAAAUAAAGAAAACCGAAAAUUCGGUUUUAUCCCACCGCCUCCCACUCUCUCUCUGUUUCUUCGAGAAACAGAGAGAAGCGGUGGGGCGUGGGGAGAAGAAGAAGAGAAGUAGAGGGAGAAGAGAAGAAGAGGGAAAAGAAGAGAGGAAGAAGAGAAGAAAAGAAGAAGUAGAAGAGAGGNNN